Physcomitrium patens is the source of this 1050-nucleotide long non-coding RNA. RefSeq lists it as uncharacterized. Lineage: Eukaryota; Viridiplantae; Streptophyta; Bryopsida; Funariales; Funariaceae. The record is from RefSeq and is a predicted model, not a curated record.
UUGUUUUAUUUUUAUUUUUAUUUUUCAAACUGGAAGUUCUUUAAAUGAAGCUGCAAUUUACUUGUCUAUAAUGCCAUGUAUGUACUGAAAACUUGAUGGUUGGAAUCCAACAUAAUACACGCAUAGAAAAACAUACUAAAUUGAUGAAGAUGUGACAAUCAGUGGUGUUUGGUUGAACUAUUGCAACAACAUUUGAUGAUCUUCAUCUCCUUCUGAGAGGGUUGUUCGCAAACAGUUUAGGGUUAGAAAUAUGAAUCUACUAAAAAAAUAUCGAGUUUGGAAGGAUGAGUUCAUACCUAUGUUGAAAUUCCCUAGCCCCAAUCCCCACCUCUAAUUCCUUAUCACGUAGCUCACAACCCACUUGCAGAGUUUUUGGACAAUGGGAUUUUGAGCGAGAUCUAUCUUUAGUAGUGUGGAGAAAGUGUAAUAGAAAUGACCAUGCGCCGAAUCUGAACGUCGUUGAAUUGACCCCGGAUGUUGUGAAGUUUGAAGGGGUGGCAAGAAAUGCAUGGCAACAAUACUUGGAGCCAGGUUGAAGCCUUCGACAUUUCACGGCAAAGAUUGCGGGAUAGACCUGGAAAUCCAGGCCCCCUUUUGUGGUAUUGAGGCUUGUCGAUUGGGCUCUUAGGGGUUCAGGUCAAGAGGAGAGAUGCAGUGAUGGUGAAAAUGUUCAGUUCACAAGUGAAUGUGGUUUUAAGUCAAAUGUUGUUGCAGCAGCUUGUUUUUUCAGGCUUCCCACAAGGCUGCUGUGAUAAUCAGGGUUCUGGAAACAAGGAAGCUGUUGAGGCGGCAUGACUAUGGAUACACAGGAACAACAGCUCGACACUGACAGCACAAGCUUUCACGGGACUGUAGAUCUUGCAAUGCAAACAACAUGCAAUUUCUUCUCGAAGGAUUGACUUACUCCUGCUGGAGAGCAAGGCAAUCAGCAACGUCUUUCUUCCAUUUACAAUUUCGAGUGAUUUCAAACACUGUUUUCGUCUAUUGCUAGCACUCAAUCAGACUUGUCAGAUUUAUGUUCAUUUGAAUGAUCAUUUUAUGUUCAGUUGA